GCGGACGGGUGAGUAACACGUGGAUAACCUACCUAUAAGACUGGGAUAACUUCGGGAAACCGGAGCUAAUACCGGAUAAUAUAUUGAACCGCAUGGUUCAAUAGUGAAAGACGGUUUUGCUGUCACUUAUAGAUGGAUCCGCGCCGCAUUAGCUAGUUGGUAAGGUAACGGCUUACCAAGGCAACGAUGCGUAGCCGACCUGAGAGGGUGAUCGGCCACACUGGAACUGAGACACGGCCCAG
This 242-nucleotide ribosomal RNA is filed under the name uncultured Staphylococcus sp. Its description in RNAcentral is "partial 16S ribosomal RNA". It matches the Rfam family "Bacterial small subunit ribosomal RNA", at positions 98 to 334 of the family's 1533-position model. Lineage: Bacteria; Bacillati; Bacillota; Bacilli; Caryophanales; Staphylococcaceae. The record is from RNAcentral.